CCCUUAGAUGUUCUGGGCCGCACGCGCGCUACACUGAUGCAUUCAACGAGCCUAUCCUUGACCGACAGGUCCGGGUAAUCUUUGAAUCUGCAUCGUGACGGGGAUAGAUUAUUGCAAUUAUUAAUCUUCAACGAGGAAUGCCUAGUAGGCGCAAGUCAUCAGCUUGCGUCGAUUACGUCCCUGCCCUUUGUACACACCGCCCGUCGCUCCUACCGAUUGGGUGUGCUGGUGAAAUGUUUGGAUCGGCCGUUUGUCGCGGUUUCCGCGGCUCGUGGCUGAGAAGUUCAUUAAACCCUCCCACCUAGAGGAAGGAGAAGUCGUAACA
This 325-nucleotide ribosomal RNA is filed under the name uncultured eukaryote. RNAcentral describes it as "partial 18S ribosomal RNA". It matches the Rfam family "Eukaryotic small subunit ribosomal RNA", at positions 1470 to 1796 of the family's 1831-position model. The record is from RNAcentral.